This 253-nucleotide ribosomal RNA is filed under the name uncultured bacterium. Its description in RNAcentral is "partial 16S ribosomal RNA". It matches the Rfam family "Bacterial small subunit ribosomal RNA", at positions 524 to 776 of the family's 1533-position model. The record is from RNAcentral.
UACAGAGGUCUCAAGCGUUGUUCGGAUUCAUUGGGCGUAAAGGGUGCGUAGGCGGCGCAACAAGUCACUUGUGAAAUCUCCGGGCUUAACCCGGAGCGGCCAAGUGAUACUGUCGUGCUAGAGUGCGGAAGGGGCUACUGGAAUUCUCGGUGUAGCGGUGAAAUGCGUAGAUAUCGAGAGGAACACCUGCGGCGAAGGCGGGUAGCUGGGCCGACACUGACGCUGAGGCGCGAAAGCCAGGGGAGCGAACGGG